AUUGAACGCUGGCGGCGUGCCUAACACAUGCAAGUCGAGCGGUAACAGGUGUAGCAAUACAUGCUGACGAGCGGCGAACGGGUGAGUAAUGCUUCGGAAUCUACCUUAUGGUGGGGAAUAACUAGCCGAAGGGUUAGCUAAUACCGCAUACGUCCUACGGGAGAAAGCAGGGGAUCGCAAGACCUUGAGCCAAAAGAUGAGCCGAAGUCGGAUUAGCUAGUUGGGCGGGUAACGGCCUACCAAGGCGCCGAUCCGUAGCUGGUCUGAGAGGACGACCAGCCGCACUGGGACUGAGACACGGCCCGGACUCCUACGGGAGGCAGCAGUGGGGAAUAUUGGACAAUGGGGGAAACCCUGAUCCAGCGACGCCGCGUGUGUGAAGAAGGCCUGCGGGUUGUAAAGCACUUUUAGUGGGGAUGAAAUGUGCAGGGUUAAUACCUCUGCAUUUUGACCUAACCCACAGAAAAAGCACCGGCUAACUCUGUGCCAGCCGCCGCAGUAA
RNAcentral lists this ribosomal RNA (502 nucleotides) under uncultured bacterium. Its description in RNAcentral is "partial 16S ribosomal RNA". It matches the Rfam family "Bacterial small subunit ribosomal RNA", at positions 30 to 523 of the family's 1533-position model. The record is from RNAcentral.